This 841-nucleotide ribosomal RNA is filed under the name Enterococcus faecium. RNAcentral describes it as "bacterial SSU rRNA". It matches the Rfam family "Bacterial small subunit ribosomal RNA", at positions 70 to 878 of the family's 1533-position model. The record is from RNAcentral. Lineage: Bacteria; Bacillati; Bacillota; Bacilli; Lactobacillales; Enterococcaceae.
UCUUUUUCCACCGGCAGCUUGCUCUCACCGUGGAAAAAGAGGAGUGGCGAACGGGUGAGUAACACGUGGGUAACCUGCCCAUCAGAAGGGGAUAACACUUGGAAACAGGUGCUAAUACCGUAUAACAAUCAAAACCGCAUGGUUUUGAUUUGAAAGGCGCUUUCGGGUGUCGCUGAUGGAUGGACCCGCGGUGCAUUAGCUAGUUGGUGAGGUAACGGCUCACCAAGGCCACGAUGCAUAGCCGACCUGAGAGGGUGAUCGGCCACAUUGGGACUGAGACACGGCCCAAACUCCUACGGGAGGCAGCAGUAGGGAAUCUUCGGCAAUGGACGAAAGUCUGACCGAGCAACGCCGCGUGAGUGAAGAAGGUUUUCGGAUCGUAAAACUCUGUUGUUAGAGAAGAACAAGGAUGAGAGUAACUGUUCAUCCCUUGACGGUAUCUAACCAGAAAGCCACGGCUAACUACGUGCCAGCAGCCGCGGUAAUACGUAGGUGGCAAGCGUUGUCCGGAUUUAUUGGGCGUAAAGCGAGCGCAGGCGGUUUCUUAAGUCUGAUGUGAAAGCCCCCGGCUCAACCGGGGAGGGUCAUUGGAAACUGGGAGACUUGAGUGCAGAAGAGGAGAGUGGAAUUCCAUGUGUAGCGGUGAAAUGCGUAGAUAUAUGGAGGAACACCAGUGGCGAAGGCGGCUCUCUGGUCUGUAACUGACGCUGAGGCUCGAAAGCGUGGGGAGCAAACAGGAUUAGAUACCCUGGUAGUCCACGCCGUAAACGAUGAGUGCUAAGUGUUGGAGGGUUUCCGCCCUUCAGUGCUGCAGCUAACGCAUUAAGCACUCCGCCUGGGG